GGCUCAGAUUGAACGCUGGCGGCAGGCCUAACACAUGCAAGUCGAGCGGUAGCACAGAGAGCUUGCUCUCGGGUGACGAGCGGCGGACGGGUGAGUAAUGUCUGGGAAACUGCCUGAUGGAGGGGGAUAACUACUGGAAACGGUAGCUAAUACCGCAUAACGUCGCAAGACCAAAGUGGGGGACCUUCGGGCCUCAUGCCAUCAGAUGUGCCCAGAUGGGAUUAGCUAGUAGGUGGGGUAAUGGCUCACCUAGGCGACGAUCCCUAGCUGGUCUGAGAGGAUGACCAGCCACACUGGAACUGAGACACGGUCCAGACUCCUACGGGAGGCAGCAGUGGGGAAUAUUGCACAAUGGGCGCAAGCCUGAUGCAGCCAUGCCGCGUGUAUGAAGAAGGCCUUCGGGUUGUAAAGUACUUUCAGCGAGGAGGAAGGCGUUAAGGUUAAUAACCUUGGCGAUUGACGUUACUCGCAGAAGAAGCACCGGCUAACUCCGUGCCAGCAGCCGCGGUAAUACGGAGGGUGCAAGCGUUAAUCGGAAUUACUGGGCGUAAAGCGCACGCAGGCGGUCUGUCAAGUCGGAUGUGAAAUCCCCGGGCUCAACCUGGGAACUGCAUUCGAAACUGGCAGGCUAGAGUCUUGUAGAGGGGGGUAGAAUUCCAGGUGUAGCGGUGAAAUGCGUAGAGAUCUGGAGGAAUACCGGUGGCGAAGGCGGCCCCCUGGACAAAGACUGACGCUCAGGUGCGAAAGCGUGGGGAGCAAACAGGAUUAGAUACCCUGGUAGUCCACGCCGUAAACGAUGUCGACUUGGAGGUUGUGCCCUUGAGGCGUGGCUUCCGGAGCUAACGCGUUAAGUCGACCGCCUGGGGAGUACGGCCGCAAGGUUAAAACUCAAAUGAAUUGACGGGGGCCCGCACAAGCGGUGGAGCAUGUGGUUUAAUUCGAUGCAACGCGAAGAACCUUACCUACUCUUGACAUCCAGAGAACUUAGCAGAGAUGCUUUGGUGCCUUCGGGAACUCUGAGACAGGUGCUGCAUGGCUGUCGUCAGCUCGUGUUGUGAAAUGUUGGGUUAAGUCCCGCAACGAGCGCAACCCUUAUCCUUUGUUGCCAGCGAUCCGGCCGGGAACUCAAAGGAGACUGCCAGUGAUAAACUGGAGGAAGGUGGGGAUGACGUCAAGUCAUCAUGGCCCUUACGAGUAGGGCUACACACGUGCUACAAUGGCAUAUACAAAGAGAAGCGACCUCGCGAGAGCAAGCGGACCUCAUAAAGUAUGUCGUAGUCCGGAUUGGAGUCUGCAACUCGACUCCAUGAAGUCGGAAUCGCUAGUAAUCGUAGAUCAGAAUGCUACGGUGAAUACGUUCCCGGGCCUUGUACACACCGCCCGUCACACCAUGGGAGUGGGUUGCAAAAGAAGUAGGUAGCUUAACCUUCGGGAGGGCGCUUACCACUUUGUGAUUCAUGACUGGGGUGAAGUCGUAACAAGGUAACCGUAGGGGAACCUGCGGUUGGAUCACCU
This 1515-nucleotide ribosomal RNA is filed under the name Klebsiella aerogenes UCI 15. Its description in RNAcentral is "bacterial SSU rRNA". It matches the Rfam family "Bacterial small subunit ribosomal RNA". The record is from RNAcentral. Lineage: Bacteria; Pseudomonadati; Pseudomonadota; Gammaproteobacteria; Enterobacterales; Enterobacteriaceae.